Molecule: ribosomal RNA, 490 nt
Filed under: uncultured bacterium
Lineage: Bacteria
Description: partial 16S ribosomal RNA
Rfam family: Bacterial small subunit ribosomal RNA
Source: RNAcentral
AGUGAACGCUGGCGGUAGGCCUAACACAUGCAAGUCGAACGGCAGCACAGUAAGAGCUUGCUCUUACGGGUGGCGAGUGGCGGACGGGUGAGGAAUACAUCGGAAUCUACUUUUUCGUGGGGGAUAACGUAGGGAAACUUACGCUAAUACCGCAUACGACCUACGGGUGAAAGCAGGGGAUCUUCGGACCUUGCGCGAUUGAAUGGGCCGAUGUCGGAUUAGCUAGUUGGCGGGGUAAAGGCCCACCAAGGCGACGAUCCGUAGCUGGUCUGAGAGGAUGAUCAGCCACACUGGAACUGAGACACGGUCCAGACUCCUACGGGAGGCAGCAGUGGGGAAUAUUGGACAAUGGGCGCAAGCCUGAUCCAGCCAUACCGCGUGGGUGAAGAAGGCCUUCGGGUUGUAAAGCCCUUUUGUUGGGAAAGAAAAGCAGCAGGUUAAUACCCCGCUGUUCUGACGGUACCCAAAGAAUAGGCACCGGCUAACUUCG